This 496-nucleotide ribosomal RNA is filed under the name uncultured bacterium. Its description in RNAcentral is "partial 16S ribosomal RNA". It matches the Rfam family "Bacterial small subunit ribosomal RNA", at positions 29 to 507 of the family's 1533-position model. The record is from RNAcentral.
AUGAACGCUGGCGGCGUGCCUAAUACCUGCAAGUCGAGCGCACAGAUGAGGAGCUUGCUCCUCUGACGUUAGCGGCGGACGGGUGGGUAACACGUGGAUAACCUACCUAUAAGACUGGGAUAACUUCGGGAAACCGGAGCUAAUACCGGAUAAUAUAUUGAACCGCAUGGUUCAAUAGUGAAAGACGGUUUUGCUGUCACUUAUAGAUGGAUCCGCGCCGCAUUAGCUAGUUGGUAAGGUAACGGCUUACCAAGGCAACGAUGCGUAGCCGACCUGAGAGGGUGAUCGGCCACACUGGAACUGAGACACGGUCCAGACUCCUACGGGAGGCAGCAGUAGGGAAUCUUCCGCAAUGGGCGAAAGCCUGACGGAGCAACGCCGCGUGAGUGAUGAAGGUCUUCGGAUCGUAAAACUCUGUUAUUAGGGAAGAACAAAUGUGUAAGUAACUAUGCACGUCUUGACGGUACCUAAUCAGAAAGCCACGGCUAACUACGUG